GAGGGAGCCAGCCUCUGGCAGGAGGGCGUGGAGCCCGGUGCAAGCCAGAACAGGUCCAGCCUUCCCGCGGCCAGCGCCAGCAGCGGGAGGGGACAGGCGAGGGCCAGCGGGUGCAGCCCGGGGUGAGGACCAGCGGGAAGCGGCCGGCAAGAAACUCCCUUGGAUCCGCUGGGAGCUGCUGGACCCUGCCGGUCCCUGUCCCAGCUCCCAGCCAUCUUGGGGGAGAAGUUUCCCGAGGGCAGGUACCAGACAGAUCGCGUGCUGGAGGGGACGCAGGUUAACUAAACUCUCAGCUUUAAACCAACAGUAAGAGGAGACAUUAAGAUUUUCAUUCUUUCUGGGUUGUCUCCUUCCUGAAGAGCAAUGGAAACACUUUUACCUAGAAGAGGAGUAAUCAUAUCUCUAAUUUUCUUCCUGUUAAAAUUCUCAACAGCAAUUGAAAUACCACCCUCAGUUCAACAGGUUCCAACAAUCAUAAAACAGUCAAAAGUCCAAGUUGCCUUUCCCUUUGAUGAGUAUUUUCAAAUUGAAUGUGAAGCUAAAGGGAAUCCAGAACCAACGUGAGUAUUCUUUCAAAUUAAA
Molecule: long non-coding RNA, 582 nt
Filed under: Saimiri boliviensis boliviensis (Bolivian squirrel monkey)
Lineage: Eukaryota; Metazoa; Chordata; Mammalia; Primates; Cebidae
Description: lncRNA (ENSSBOG00000036632.1)
Source: RNAcentral